Molecule: ribosomal RNA, 1082 nt
Filed under: uncultured bacterium
Lineage: Bacteria
Description: bacterial SSU rRNA
Rfam family: Bacterial small subunit ribosomal RNA
Source: RNAcentral
CGAGGGGCAGCGCGGAAGUAGCAAUACUUCUGGCGGCGACCGGCAGAAGGGUGCGUAACACGUGAGCAACCUGCCCGUGACAGGGGGAUAACCGACGGAAACGUCGCCUAAUACCCCGUAACAACUUCGGAGGCAUCUCCGGAGUUUGAAAGACACGUCAGUCACGGAUGGGCUCGCGGUACAUUAGCUGGUUGGCGGGGUAACGGCCCACCAAGGCGACGAUGUAUAGGGGUUCUGAGAGGAAGGUCCCCCACACUGGAACUGAGACACGGUCCAGACUCCUACGGGAGGCAGCAGUGAGGAAUAUUGGACAAUGGAGGCAACUCUGAUCCAGCCAUGCCGCGUGAAGGAAUAAGGCCCUAUGGGUCGUAAACUUCUUUUGACGCACAGCAAUAAGGACUACGUGUAGUCUGAUAAAAAAAAGCAUCGUAUAAGCAUCGGCUGGGUCCGUACCAGCAGCCGCGAUAAUACGGAGGAUGCGCAGCGUUAUCCGGAUUUAUUGGGUUUAAAGGGUGCGUAGGCUGAAGAUCAAGUCAGCGGUGAAAUGUCCCGGCUCAACCGGGGCCUUGCCGUUGAAACUGGUCAUCUGGAAUGCGGAUGCCGUGGGAGGAAUGUGUGGUGUAGCGGUGAAAUGCAUAGAUUUCACGCCUUACACCGAUUGCGAAGGCAUCUCACGAAUCCGCUAUUGACGUUGAGGCACGAAAGCGUGGAGAUCAAACAGGAUUAGAUACCCUGGUAGUCCACGCAGUAAACGAUGAUGACUAACUGCCGGCGAUACAGUGUCGGUGGCCAAGCGAAAGCGAUAAGUCAUCCACCUGGGGAGUACGACCGCAAGGUUGAAACUCAAAGGAAUUGACGGGGGCCCGCACAAGCGGAGGAACAUGUGGUUUAAUUCGAUGAUACGCGAGGAACCUUACCCGGGCUCGAACGGCAGGUGAACGACACAGAGAUGUGAAGGUCCUACGGGACGCCUGUCGAGGUGCUGCAUGGUUGUCGUCAGCUCGUGCCGUGAGGUGUCGGCUUAAGUGCCAUAACGAGCGCAACCCUUGCCGUCAGUUACCAUCAGGUGAAGCUGGGGACUC